AAUUAACAGAUGAUAUUAAGGGUGUGUGUGUGUGUGUGUGUGUGUUAUCUCUCUCUCUGAUGGUAGAGGACACGGUGGUUCAGGAGGGACGAACGCUGGGAGAUUCAGACUGGCAGAAGUUCACUCUGGGUCUGAGUAACGUCACCGUGCCGGAUCUCACCACGGACAUCGUCAUGUGCAACACGGAGCUCUACCCACAACCCCCUGCGGCCACGUCUCCACUGAAGGAGCAGGAGGGAGGAGCUUCAGAGCUCCACAAGAUCCACGAGGACGUAGGAGGAGCUCCUCAGAACGAGGAGAUAGUAGAGGAGCAUCUUUAUGAGGAGGUUGUGGAGGAUCAUCCGGAAGAUGAGGUAAUAGAGGACACACACGAUGAUGAUGAUGAUGAUGAGGGUGUGGAGGAAGGUGAGGAAGGUGAGGGUUUGGAGGAUCAUCAAAGGCAGUCUGUGAAUAAAACCUAUGAAACUGAACCUCAGCCAUUACGAGACGAGGAAAAAUCUCAGCUACACUUACAGUUAGAGGAAGAGCAAGAGGAGGAAGAGGAAGUGGAGGAGGAGGAAGAGGAAGAAGAGGAAGAGGAGAUGAACAUGGUUUCUUCCCCAAAACAGAAAGAUUCCAGCGUUUUGAGUCCUGAUGAUAUUCCUUUUGCACCAACUCAGGCCAUGACCGAGCCCCUCCCACAGGAAGGGGAGGGGCUAGAGUCUGAGAUGCAGGAGGAGGAGGGUAUUGGAUGGAGAGACAGUGUGAGGGAGGACCUUCAGACUAUGGAGCUUCCGUCACAGCUCCUGGAGCGAAUCACGCGGAGAGCCUAUCGCUCAGAGGGCGGGGCCAUCAUGCCCGGAGUGACGGCGAGAGGAAGAGUCACGAAGAGCUUAGGGGCGGGACUACAUCCCGCAGAGAGAGAAGCACAGAGUUUUAUGGGUGUCAGGAGUCCAGGUGAAUUAAUCAGCUCGGCCCUGAGACGCUCUCCAUCUGUGACCAGUCAGACGGGGGCGGAGCUAAAUCUGAGCAACGCAGAGCAGGAGAACAUCGUCUCCUCUUCUGUACAUCAAAGCAUUAACCCACUAUCUCCUCCUGCCGAGAAGGAGGAGCAUGAGGAGGAGGAGGAGCUGGAGGAGGAGGGGGAGGAGCAUCAGGAGGAGGAGCUGGAGGAGGAGGAGGAGCUGGAGGAGGAGGAGAAGCAUCAGGAGGAGGAGCUGGAGGAGGAGGAGCAUCAGGAGGAGGAGCUGGAGGAGCAUCGAGAAGGGGCGGAGCAUGGAGAGGAAGAGGGUGCUGACAGGGAGGAAAUGGAAGUGGAAGCAGAUAAAGUAGAUGAUGAUGAAGAUGAAGAAGAUGCUCAGAGUGAAGGUACAGUAGAUUUCUGCACUAUAAACUGGAUUUUUUGUAUAGUAAUAAUUUUUAUUUGGAAAUAUAAAUCAGUAAAAGCAUGAUCG
RNAcentral lists this long non-coding RNA (1433 nucleotides) under Astyanax mexicanus (Mexican tetra). RNAcentral describes it as "lncRNA (ENSAMXG00005011754.1)". Lineage: Eukaryota; Metazoa; Chordata; Actinopteri; Characiformes; Acestrorhamphidae. The record is from RNAcentral.